AGAUUGAACGCUGGCGGCAGGCCUAACACAUGCAAGUCGAGCGGCAGCACGGGUACUUGUACCUGGUGGCGAGCGGCGGACGGGUGAGUAAUGCCUAGGAAUCUGCCUGGUAGUGGGGGAUAACGCUCGGAAACGGACGCUAAUACCGCAUACGUCCUACGGGAGAAAGCAGGGGACCUUCGGGCCUUGCGCUAUCAGAUGAGCCUAGGUCGGAUUAGCUAGUUGGUGAGGUAAUGGCUCACCAAGGCGACGAUCCGUAACUGGUCUGAGAGGAUGAUCAGUCACACUGGAACUGAGACACGGUCCAGACUCCUACGGGAGGCAGCAGUGGGAAUAUUGGACAAGUGGGACGAAAAGCCUAGAUCCAGCCAUGCCGCGUGUGUGGAAGAAGGUCGUUACGGAUUUAGUAAAGCCUAACGUUUUAAGUUGGGAAGGAAGGGCUAAGGUUAACCCUAAAGUUACGUAUUCGUUAGUUUUGAACGUUUACCGACAAGAAUAACGCAACCGGCUAAACUCGUGUACGCCAA
Molecule: ribosomal RNA, 527 nt
Filed under: uncultured soil bacterium
Lineage: Bacteria
Description: bacterial SSU rRNA
Rfam family: Bacterial small subunit ribosomal RNA
Source: RNAcentral